RNAcentral lists this ribosomal RNA (253 nucleotides) under uncultured bacterium. RNAcentral's name for it is "partial 16S ribosomal RNA". It matches the Rfam family "Bacterial small subunit ribosomal RNA", at positions 524 to 776 of the family's 1533-position model. The record is from RNAcentral.
UACGUAGGGGGCGAGCGUUGUCCGGAUUUAUUGGGCGUAAAGAGCGUGUAGGCGGCCAGGUAGGUCUGCUGUGAAAACUCGAGGCUUAACCUCGAGAUGUCGGCGGAAACCAUCUGGCUAGAGUCCGGAAGAGGAGAGUGGAAUUCCCGGUGUAGCGGUGAAAUGCGCAGAUAUCGGGAAGAACACCCGUGGCGAAGGCGGCUCUCUGGGACGGUACUGACGCUGAGACGCGAAAGCGUGGGGAGCGAACAGG